CCACUUCUAUCACCAAUGCCACCGCCACUACCAAGACCACUCCUGACACAAAGCCCCCUAGUCCUCAACUGACCAGAUAUUGCAGCUGGAGGAUAGACCAGGAACUUCAAAGCCAGGGCUUGCCGGUCUCCUACAUUAAGAAAAAUGCCAUGGGCCCAUCUAAUGAACUUGUAGUAGAAUAUUUGGCCACAGUUGUAGAAAUGCAGAGACUCACAUACUGCCACAGGUGAGGCUUUGUCCACAGUUCCAGAAAGACACAAGAUAGUAUCAGAAAGCCAUGCCAUAAUCAACGACUGAAGGGUUUGGAGAGCCAGAUAAAGAGCCUAGAAUUGUGAUUUAACCGUACUUCAAUCACAUGAACAGUAGUAGGAGCAAAAACAGCAGCAAACACACAGGAGAUGUAACAACUACAUUGACCAACAGCAACAACUACAGCAGCAUCAACAAUUUUUG
Molecule: long non-coding RNA, 453 nt
Organism: Lytechinus variegatus (green sea urchin)
Lineage: Eukaryota; Metazoa; Echinodermata; Echinoidea; Temnopleuroida; Toxopneustidae
Exons: 3
Source: RefSeq, a predicted model, not a curated record